AGAACCUUUAACACAGUUCAGAGAGACUGAGAAGGAAACGGAUACGCAAAGUGGGAUAAUUAUGCCCAUGGCGAUAAAAUCCUCAUGCCUUCUUGGCAUGAGGAUUUUUUUGU
This 113-nucleotide small RNA is filed under the name Peribacillus simplex. RNAcentral describes it as "Bacillus simplex PyrR". It matches the Rfam family "PyrR binding site". From Rfam's summary of the family: This family represents the PyrR binding site and terminator structure. This RNA structure is found upstream of a variety of genes involved in pyrimidine biosynthesis and transport. The record is from RNAcentral. Lineage: Bacteria; Bacillati; Bacillota; Bacilli; Caryophanales; Bacillaceae.